GGACUAGUUGAAUUGGAAAACUUGAAAGCAGUAACAACUGAAGAUAGAGAAAUGAGGAAAAAGAAGGAAGAAUAUUUAACUUUUAGUCCUCUUACAGUUGUAAUAUUUGUGGUCAUCUGCUGUGUUAUGAUGGUCUUACUUUAUUUCUUCUACAAAUGGUUGGUUUAUGUUAUGAUAGCAAUUUUCUGCAUAGCAUCAGCAAUGAGUCUGUACAACUGUCUUGCUGCACUAAUUCAUAAGAUACCAUAUGGACAAUGCACGAUUGCAUGUCGUGGCAAAAACAUGGAAGUGAGACUUAUUUUUCUCUCUGGACUGUGCAUAGCAGUAGCUGUUGUUUGGGCUGUGUUUCGAAAUGAAGACAGUCAUGUGUGAUACUUCUAGGCCUUCUCCUCCUCUAUGAUGUAUUUUUUGUUUUCAUAACACCAUUCAUCACAAAGAAUGGUGAGAGUAUCAUGGUUGAACUUGCAGCUGGACCUUUUGGAAAUAACGAAAAGGUAGGGAUGGCAGUGAAAUAGAAAUGGCUAUCCAGUGUAUGUAUGUGUAUCCAGUUAAUAAUUUGCCUUCCUGUGUAAUUCAUUGGUCACGUAGUGCAUGUUAAGGUAUUGUAAAACUUAUUUCUCAGAAAAUAUAGCUCUUUUCUUAGUUAUUAUAAAUUAUUAAAUACCUAUUGACUUGGGUUUCAUCCUAGAAUGAUGGAAACUUGGUGGAAGCCACUGGUCAACCCUCAGCUCCCCAUGAGAAAGUAAGGAUUGUAUUUCAGAUAUGUUCAUUGGACUUUAAAUCAUACCCUCUGAGACAAGACUCUUCUUUGGGGAAAAAAAAAAUCCAGAUUGCCAAAAAAAAUAAGGCCUGUUCUAUUUCUGUGUUUCAAGGCCUGGUUCUAUUCUUGGUAAAGAG
RNAcentral lists this small RNA (897 nucleotides) under Pongo abelii (Sumatran orangutan). RNAcentral's name for it is "retained intron". The record is from RNAcentral. Lineage: Eukaryota; Metazoa; Chordata; Mammalia; Primates; Hominidae.